CCUACGGGAGGCAGCAGUGGGGGAUAUUGCACAAUGGGGGAAACCCUGAUGCAGCGACGCCGCAUGAGUGAAGAAGUAUUUCGGUAUGUAAAGCUCUAUCAGCAGGGAAGAAAAUGACAGUACCUGACCAAGAAGCCCCGGCUAACUACAUGCCAGCAGCCGCGGGAAUACGUAGGGGGCAAGCGUUAUCCGGAUUUUCUGGGGGUAAAGGGAGCGUAGUGGGUUCUGUAGGUCUGGAGUGAAAGGCCUGGGCCCAACCCCCGGACUGCUUUUGAAACUGUGGAACUGGAGUACAGGAGGGGCAGGCGGAAUUCCUGGUGUAGCGGUGAAAUGCGUAGAUAUCAGGAGGAACACCGGCGGCGAAGGCGGCCUGCUGGCCUGAAACUGACGUUGAGGCUCGAAAGCGUGGGGAGCAAACAGGAUUAGAUACCCCUGUAGUC
RNAcentral lists this ribosomal RNA (440 nucleotides) under uncultured bacterium. RNAcentral's name for it is "partial 16S ribosomal RNA". It matches the Rfam family "Bacterial small subunit ribosomal RNA", at positions 338 to 795 of the family's 1533-position model. The record is from RNAcentral.